RNAcentral lists this unclassified non-coding RNA (4613 nucleotides) under Hevea brasiliensis (rubber tree). Lineage: Eukaryota; Viridiplantae; Streptophyta; Magnoliopsida; Malpighiales; Euphorbiaceae. The record is from RNAcentral.
UAGACUUGGCAAAAAAUUAUGAUGCCUUGAAAAUCCAUGAGAGUUCUGUCAAGCCAAUGCCAUUUGAACAGCUUGCUCGAUUGAUUGAAUCUGCUACUACCCUACAGACUGUUAAAGCUCUACUUGAUCGACUAGAAAGCCGCCUUAGAGUUUCCAGGGCUGUUGGUAGUAAUCAUUCAAUCAGUUUAGACAACAUCGAUCACCUUCUAAAAAGAGUAGCCACCCCAAGGAAACGGGUUUCUACUAGGAAUUCUGUGAGGAGCAGAGAGGCAAAGAAAGUAGGUGCUGUUAGGGAGGCAGCUAGAAGUCCAGCUAAAUCAUCAAGGUAUCCUGUGAGAGUAGUUCUUUGUGCCUACAUGAUUCUGGGUCAUCCAGAUGCUGUUUUGAGUGGUCAAGGGGACCGUGAGAUUUCUUUGGCCAAGUCUGCUGAAGAAUUUAUACGACAGUUUGAGUUGCUAAUAAGAAUUAUACUAGAUGGUCCCAUACAGAGUUCUGAUGAGGAAUCUGACUCCAUUUCACCAAAACGCUGUACCUUUAGGUCUCAGCUUGCGACAUUUGAUAAAGCAUGGUGCUCCUACUUGAAUUGCUUCGUUGUGUGGAAGGUUAAGGACGCCCAGUCAUUGGAGGAGGAUAUGGUGAGAGCUGCUUGCCAACUUGAGGUUUCUAUGAUUCAGAAAUGCAAGCUGACACCAGAAGGGGAUAGUGAUGCUCUUAGUCAUGAUAUGAAAGCUAUUCAGAAACAGGUUACUGAAGAUCAAAAGCUUUUGAGGGAAAAGAUACAACACCUGAGUGGAGAUGCUGGGAUUGAGCGUAUGGAACAUGCUCUAUCAGAAACACGAUCUAAAUACUUUCAAGCAAAGGAAAAUGGAAGUCCAGUUGGGUCACCAAUCACACACUUCCUUUCUCCUGUCACAUCUAGCUCCCUUGUUGGUCCUUCUGUUGGUAGCUCAGCUUGCACAAGUGAUAUGGUUGAGAGUAUUGAGAGGCCAAACCAUGUAGUUCGCUCCUUGUUCAGAGACAAUGAUGCUUCCCAACCCAAUGGAUUUAGUUCCUCUACAAUUAGCAGCAGCCAUUUUGAUGGUCAGUUGGGUUCUUCUGUUGACAAGUUUAUAUCAGAGAAUGAAUUGAUUGUAAAUGAAUUUCUCCAUGAGCGACAUCAUAGCAUUGUUGAUGUCCUCAAUACUGACAAAGAAAACAGUAUCAAGGUUAGUGCAUUCUCAUAAUUAAUCAAUUGCAAGUGUGUGAACACUACUAUGUUUUGUGGUUUGUAUUGGGUUUUAGCCUCUUAUAUUUGUUUUCUGUUAAUGGUUUAAAAUUAGUGAAAUGGGUGAACCAGUUCUGGAGGUGCCUUUGAAAUACUUCAUAGAAUCAUAGUAGCUGAUUUGUUUUCUUGUCUUAUUCCUUGCAGGCAAAAAUAAGAGAGACAAUGGAGGCUGCCUUUUGGGAUGGUGUCAUGGAAUCCAUCAAACAGGAUGAGCCAUGCUAUGAUCGGGUUGUUGAACUUGUGAGGGAGGUGAGGGAUGGAAUUAGUGAGAUGGCUCCAGAAAGCUGGAAACAACAGAUUGAUGAAGCUAUUGAUCUAGAUAUUCUCUCUCAGGUGUUAAAGUCAGGUACACUGGACAUUGAUUAUCUUGGAAAGAUUCUAGAGUUUGCAUUCAGUACUUUGCAAAAGCUUUCCUCUCCAGCCCAUGAGGAGGAAAUGAAAGUUACUUAUCAGAAAUUAUUGAAAGAGUUGGCUGAGACAUGUGAAACCCGAGUUGAGUCAUCGUGUUCCCAUGCGCUUGCAAUGAUCAAGGGUGUGCGCUUUGUAUUAGAGCAUAUUCAGGCUCUUAAGCAAGAGAUAAGCAAAGCACGUAUAAAAAUGAUGGAGCCUUUGUUGAAGGGACCUGCUGGUUUGGAUUACCUUAGAAAAGCUUUUGCCAACCAUUAUGGAUCUUAUUCUGAUGCCUGUAUGUCUCUACCUUUGACCAUGCGGUGGCUUUUAUCUGUGAGGAAUUGCAAAGACCAGGAGUGGGAAGAGCAUAUCAACUUUAUCUCUUCUUUGAUCAACCAUGAAAGUUCAUCUCAGGAGUUUCUUCCUUCCACUACUCUUAGAACCGGUGGAAGCUUUAUGCUGAAAACAAAAGGAAGUGGAGCUGCUUAUACUUCAUCUGCUUCCAAUACUACAGGUGGUCAGAAACCAGAACCAGAAUGCAAUGGUGAUAGAAUUGAUUUAUCGGUGAGGCUUGGAUUGUUGAAGCUAGUGAGUGGGGUUUCUGGCCUAACACAAGAAGUUCUUCCUGAAACCUUCUUGCUUAACCUGCCUCUUCUGAGGGCUGCCCAGGCUCAAAUCCAGAAGAUCAUAGUAAUAUCAACUAGUCUUCUUGUUUGCCGGCAAACACUACUGAUGGAGCAAGUAGUAGCCAGUGGUGCAGAUGUGGAAAGCAUAUUAUUGAAGCGCACCAAGCAAUUGCUGGCGCUCUUAGACCGUGUUGCCGAUGUGGGCAUUGAUGAGAUCGUAGGGGUAAUAAGUGAGCACUCACAAGAAGAUGACAGGGCAGCAGACCCUGAGAAACUUAAAUCAAGGAAGUUAGUCAUGGCUAGGAUGUUAGGAAAGAGCUUGCAGGCCGGGGACCCUGUUUUUGAAAAGGUCUCCCAUGCUGUUUAUUUGGCCACGAGAGGAAUUGUACUAGGCGGCAGCGGGCCUCAGGGUAGAAAACUAGCAGAAAUGGCACUCCGGCAAGUUGGGGCUGUCAUGCUAGCUGAAAGGGUGGUGGAAACUGCUGAAGUAUUGGUGGUAGCUGCCACUGUGUCUGUUGCUGUACAUGGGCCAUGGUAUAUGAAUCUAGCUGAUAACAUGUGAUGGAAUUGUAUGCACAAGGAAAGUGGGAGACAGAAUGAUAAUGCAGAAUUGUAAAAAGUAGUGUGCGUAAAAGCCCUGUAAUUGAAAAAUAAUAUUUGAUCAUAAUGCACAUUCUUCAGUGAUUGUAAUGUAGAAUUCAUUGAUGUAGUGAAACAGAGGAGACUGCAAUUUUGUGCUUUGCUUGUUUAGGUUAAACUGUCUAAAUCUUGUUUUUGGCUGCUAAAGCAUGCACACUCCAAAGUGUAAAUUUAGCAUCCAAACUAUUGCUUCCCCAUCUGGAUUUCAACAUAUUGAAUUUGAUGUAGUGUGAAAUUUACAACUUUCUUGCAAUACAAAUCUAAAUUCACAUCACAUUUCUAUGGUGAUUUUAUUAUUUAAUGAAAUAAAUGUUAUUUUAUAAAUAAUCACCAUAGGUGAAUGGAAUCUGCAUCUGUAGAAAUCGCCUCAUUUCAAAUGUUGAACGUUAAAUCCUAUUUGUUUCGCAAGUGACCCGCUCCAAUAGCCUUCUUGAUCAUUUCACGUCUAAAAGCGUACGCCUCUUGCAGAGCAGAUUCUGUUGGUUGACCUCCAAUAAUCUUGGAUGUCAUUGUUGGAGGAUCCACAUCUCUAAUCUCUCUUUUUGAGAUUGCACAACUGGUAUGAAAAUCCAGGCAGCAGCCAAAGCAUUUGUAGCCAAUGAACUUCCCAAACUCAUCACACUCGUAGCAUUUAUACUCAUAAUCAAACCAAAAUGGCAUGAUAACAAAGCUAAGUGGGUGUUCAUGUCUUUCAUGUCUGCAAAUUGUUGGUAAAACCCCACACCUGAUAUGGGUCUGUAACAGGCAAUUGUUGCAUUUCGAGGAGUAGCUUUCACAAACCUUGCACUUGUAUGUCACUGGAAAGUUGUAAUAGGAUGGUUUUGGGUUUAUGUAGAACAGGCGGGACUUUGAAAUUACUUCUAAAUCUGUGGAUAGCUCGGCACACGCUUUGUGAAGAAUGAACUCAUCGCACUCGACGCAUUGAUAGAUUGGACCAGAAAUGACAUUUUGACAAUGGUUGCAAUGGAGUUCAUUGGAUCCUAUCUUUGGCUCUUCAGUGAAGGAAAACUCAUGGGCAUGCGCUUCUGUGAGAAGACUCAGAUCAGGCAUCAUCUUACUAUCCUGUGAAGGAUCAAAUACUUCAAAUUUGCUCCCUUCACCUUCACCUCCACCUUUAGGGUCCUGAAGAUGUACCGCUUCAUAGUUUUCCACAGCCCCAAGUAUCUUAGGGACAAAUCUCUCCACAUCAAACGUCUCCAUCAUGCUGAUGCUGAAGAAUCGAACAUGUUUAGCCCUGUAAUCAUUAUCAAGAACCGGAUUGAUUUGAUCUGAAGAGCAAUCAAUUAUGAUCAAAAGGGCUUCCUUAGAAGCUGCCAGCUGCAACAAAAGCUCAAAGUGAUAAAUUUCAGAGAGUGAAGUAUUGAUGAUAACUGGGAACUUCAAGAGGAGUAGGGUUGAGGAGAUCUGAAUGGCAAGUUUGAAAGACAAGUCUUUAGAAAAUGAGGUAGAUGUAGCAGUGGUGGAGGGAGUUAGAAGGGGGUUCUGAAGAUCUGGAAUCAUUUGACUGAUAUCUCUUUCAUCAAUUAGAGGAUGGUUAAGGGACAUGGCUAAUUUGUAAGCUAUUUCACUCUGUUGAUUGUUUAAAGAGCCUCUAAUUGCUAUGAUCACUGGCAACUUCGGUUGUUUUUGCUCACCGCUGUUGGCUACUUCCAUUCUCUCUUUUCUGAGUAAUGACCAUGCAAUGGAACUGUACU